This is a non-coding RNA of Canis lupus familiaris (dog), 92 nucleotides long. The record is from Rfam. NCBI's taxonomy places the organism in Eukaryota, Metazoa, Chordata, Mammalia, Carnivora, Canidae.
GGGGGGUACCUCAGGAUCCUGGGCUGUGUCCCGGCGCCCUGUGCUCCGGGGCCUGCGCUGUUGGAUUUGCGCUCCCCCCCCCGCAGCCCCCU